This is a long non-coding RNA of Fundulus heteroclitus (mummichog), 1363 nucleotides long. RefSeq lists it as uncharacterized. The record is from RefSeq and is a predicted model, not a curated record. The transcript is spliced from 3 exons. Lineage: Eukaryota; Metazoa; Chordata; Actinopteri; Cyprinodontiformes; Fundulidae.
UACAAACAAUGAGAAAUCAAUUAUUUAGGUGUUUUUUUUUUGUUCAUGUUGAUAUUCAGGAAAACGUCCGGCUCUUGGGUGUUCUAAAAUCACCCUCAGGUUUUACAGGUAGUUUUGGCAGGUGUUUAAUUCCUUAAUAAUUUAAGUUAUACAUUCAAAAGACAUAAGGAAGUUAUUACCAACUUCUCACUCUGCAUUACAGCUUUGUAUUAACAUUGCUUUAAUGUGUUAUUGUGUACAGCUGUGGAUGUUAAGGGUCCAGUUAAUUAUAAACAAAAUAAUUUACUGUUUGGUAGUUUAAGAAAUUGUCAUGUAGCAUCACUAGUCUUUCCUGUGACAUGCAUUUUAUUUUUGUUUUGUCAUAAUUCAUUUUCCAGCUGAAGACAAUUUUUUUUAAAAGAGUUCUGGUUUAAGAAGUCAUCCCUCAAAAUAAAGACUUGUUCAGUUUAUCACAAAUGUUAACAUUAAACCGUCAUUUUGGGGGUACAAGGUUUCCACUGAGCGUGAAGGUUUUGAAAUAUGUAUGUAACCAGCAUAUAAAUAGGUUUAAUAGUAGAGGAGAAAUUGCAGUAUGUUCCUCUGAGUUACAGUGACAUAGACAAAAUUGAAGUUGCAUAAAAUCCUCAAAUUUCUACUUUAGCAAUUGUCCUGUAAAGAGAAGGUGUUUUAUUUUGCAUGGCACACUGCUGCCAUCUGCUGGACAUUUAAGGAAAUGCUUUGCUUACAUGCUAGUACGUUUUGUUUGCUAGCAGUAGAGCAGAUGAAAAGACGUGUCUGUUACGAACGCCGAAUUCCAGGUGAAGUUCUUCGACGCAAUGCCUUUUCCCUCCAUUCUACGUGGAAAUAAAGCAAGAACUAAGUAAUCCUGACUCGUGUGAAAGGAGUUUGACUGAUGAAUGAGGCAGAGAUGGGCUGUGACAGAGAGAGUUACAAAAUUAUCCAGCCAGGCUUUGAUAAUGAUGUUGUUCCACCAGACUGAGAGAGUCCAGCAUCAUCCACUCUGCUGGUAAGCAGUCAGCACAGUGGACUUCCUGAAGAUGACUCAGCUGUGACCAAUCAUCUGUCUGACCGUCCAUGCUGCUCUAUAGAACUGAGAGAACUACUUCAGGUGAAAAACUGCGCCCGUCUCCAUUUCUUGGAAAGAAAUGAAGACGAGCGCAGAUUUAGUUCCAGUUAUUAUUUCAUUCAAAUGAAAAAUGGAGAACAAAUAAGCAGAUCAUGGCUUGCCUACUAGAAAAAGGGAUAAAAAGACAGAGAGGCAAACAACAAGAACAGAGGGACAAAAGGUAGAAAAAAUAUGUCUAUUCUAAUAAAAUUUCUCUAUCUGUAUAAUGGGUCUGUUUUAUGCGUUGUCUUCACAAUU